RNAcentral lists this long non-coding RNA (583 nucleotides) under Canis lupus familiaris (dog). Its description in RNAcentral is "lncRNA (ENSCAFG00000038966.3, ENSCAFG00805028502.1, ENSCAFG00845015509.1)". Lineage: Eukaryota; Metazoa; Chordata; Mammalia; Carnivora; Canidae. The record is from RNAcentral.
AGAUAAAGUAGUUGAGCUAAUAGACAAUAUGAGUCUCUUCUUCCUGAGUCUCAGAAGGAAAUAAUUCUGCAGUAGGAGCCUUGGGAGAGAGAGAGCUAUAAAAACAGGUUCUGCUCUGAUGGGCAGACAUGGGGAGAGAGACUAUAUAAUUUUGUACAUUGAAUGAGGCUAAUUCAAAUAGUGUUAAUUGUCCCUCCACCACCAGUCAAGGUGAUGCCUUGAGACUCAGCACAACUCCGCUGGAUCUCCCCUGCCUGGAAUUGAAAGUGUUAGAAGCUGAAUGAUGUUUCAGGAGAAACAAUGAUCUUUGAUUUAGCUGUGUACUCCAUCCAUCCCAGCAUACCUUGGAGCCAGGGGCAGGAAAGCAAAGAAGGGGACAGUGUUAUUAAUCAUCGUUCCUCAUUUCCUUUCACUGCUGGGAUUUGACAAGGAUUUUAUUUCACCUUGAAAAACUGCACAUAGUGGAGAGUUUCUUCACUUUAUUCCUGCAGUCUUAACAUACCCUACUGAGUAAAGGUAAAUUGCUUUUUAUUCUGUAUUCUGUUAUGUUUUUGAAAAAUGGUUUUCAAAUCACAGAUUUGAU